Molecule: long non-coding RNA, 1592 nt
Organism: Motacilla alba alba
Lineage: Eukaryota; Metazoa; Chordata; Aves; Passeriformes; Motacillidae
Exons: 3
Source: RefSeq, a predicted model, not a curated record
CUCCUCCGCGCCCCUUACCCUCAUCUGCCCCGCUUUUUGGGGAUGACAGGGAAUCGGCUGCUUUGAUUUCCCUGGGAAUAACUUUUUGCCGUGUGAAAUUACCUCGCGAUGGGUCCGGGUCUCGCUCGCGGGUUUCUCACGGCUUUGCUCCGACCGCGGCUGACUUUUAACUCCGGUAUCGGUGGAAUGGCACGUCCAGAGACGGAACAGAGCCGGGGCAGGAGCUGGCGCACCAGGAGCGGCUGAGGGAGCGGGGCGGGGGGCUCAGCCUGGCGAAAAGGAACCCGCGGGGGACCUUCUGGCUCUGCACAACUCCCUGACGGGAGGGGGCAGCCAGGAAGUGGUCGGGCUCUACUCCCAGAGAACAAGGCACAGAACAAGAGGAAACGUCCUCAAGCUGCAUCAGGGGAGUUUUAGGUUGGACAUCAGGAAGAAUUCCUUCAUGGAAAGGGUUGUCAGGCCUUGGAAGAGACUGCCCAGGGAGGUGGUGGAGUCCCCAUCCAUGGGGGUGUCCAAGGAAUGAAUGGACAUGGCACUCAGUGCUCUGGCUGAGUGACGAGGCAGUGUUUGGUCAAAGGUUGGACUCACUGAUCUUGGAGGUCUUUUUCAACCUUUAGGGAUUUGAAGAUUCUAUAACUUUUUCUCCCUGUAGUUAAGUAAAAGUUAAUUUGUAACUUUAUGUUUUUCCAAAGUGUAAUUAAGAUUUUCUCGUGUUCCUCCUGUUUUAAAUCCAGUCUCAAGUCCACAGAAUGUGUGCGUUUGGGGGCUAUUAAACAUUCCCUGUCCAGCACCACAGGUUCUGCUCCACAGGUCACAUUCCUGACUGCAAAUGGGAGUUCAACUCCUGAGCAGCCCAACUUCUGUCCAUGGAUUAUUUAUCCCCUACUUGAAUGGUUCUUGCACACCUCAAUACUUCUCAGGUGAUUUAUCACUCCAACAGCCCCCGGAUGCAGAACAUUGAAGAGAAAGGUUCAGGUGGGUUUACUGAUGAGCAGCAUGGAUUUCACUGGAGAUCACUAGUCAGGAUCACACACCCCAGAACCACAGAGACAGGUAGGGAGCUUCUGUAUCCCUAUGGAAAGAUAAUGGCAUAGGUAAUAUCUGCUCUCCUGGUCACAAAUAGCUGCAGCUGUUUCAGGUGCUUGAACAUCUGUAGGGACAAUUCCACCCAGCAAGUUCCUGCUGCAGGGAAUGAUUUCGGGAAAACAUGGGCAGAAUUGAGAUGCUGUUUCCAUGUGCCUUCUAGACCAGUAUCAAGAAGGAAUGAGCUCCUGAGAUUUGUAACCCAGGUUGAACCUGCUGAGGGAGAGGCUGCAGCCAUACUGGGCUGGAUUUGCUGGAAGCUCCGGACACCCACUCUGCAGCUCCUCCACCUCCACCUGGGCACUUGGACCCAGCUCCUGUAUGGCAGGAUAAUCUUCCCUGCUCAUCUCAGACACAGAUACCAGCUGGUGUGUGAAACAGCUGGGGAUGUGUGAUCCCAGCUACAAAAUAAAGCUACGCCUGCUUUUAAUAUAGGAACUGGUGUUAGAAAGCUUUUUUGCAUGGUUUGUUCCUCAGCAGUGCUGAAGAAAAAGGAGACCAUGGCCAAG